CGGGGCGUAGCGCAGCCUGGUAGCGCGCCUGCUUUGGGAGCAGGAUGUCGGAGGUUCAAAUCCUCUCGCCCCGA
Nitrospira sp. OLB3 is the source of this 74-nucleotide non-coding RNA. The record is from Rfam. NCBI's taxonomy places the organism in Bacteria, Pseudomonadati, Nitrospirota, Nitrospiria, Nitrospirales, Nitrospiraceae.